UGAACCUUACUUUUGAGGUGAAAAGUGA
Molecule: non-coding RNA, 28 nt
Filed under: Homo sapiens (human)
Lineage: Eukaryota; Metazoa; Chordata; Mammalia; Primates; Hominidae
Source: RNAcentral